UUAGAAUUCUUUUCUCUUAGGUAUCCAGGUAUACACUCCACCCUGGAGAAGCUACUAUUCUUCCAAAUUUUGUUCUCUCAAGUUUAUAGAUUGCAUUUUUCCUCGUGCAGUUGUUUAUAAAAUGUUCAUAUCUCAUAGCACGAGGAUAAAUCAGGACUUUACUAAUUCCAAGAACUAGAGGAUAUCUAACUUUGUAUGUUCAUACGAAAGUGUGUGCAAUUUUUCUUACAGAAACAAAGCAAAAGUCACACCCUCUAUACCAUAAUGUUGGCAGUCUUCAUGUUCGUGUGAGGUCUCUUUUAAGUGAUUUGCAAGAUCUAUGGCAUUUUACAUUCAAGCGUUGACGAUCCUGUAUAAUGGUAACCGGAUAUUUUGUAAUUUUGCUCGUCUUCUGGAUUUGCUCUCUGCAGAUGCCCUCUUGCUGGCCACAUUUUUCAAGGGUUUGGAUAGAAGCUUGCUAAAUGUGCUAGGGAUGUACUGCCUCCAAAGUAGCCGAAGGCAUAUCCUUAUGGAACCGUGCUUUCAACUCGCUCACAUGAUUCACUUAGAUUGAUAUUAUUCUGUCUAUUCUGGUUUCAUGUGUAGAUCAUGUAAAAGUUUGUGGUGCCAUCUAUUUAGCAUCUUAUCAACCAAACGGUCACUUAUCAGUCUGAUAAAGAUUAAAGGAGAACAACAAAAGACUAGUUUGAUCAACCAGUGGUGUCUAGAACCAAUUAUUUUGGUGAGCAAUCUCUGGGAUUGGGGUCGUGAGAGCUAGAAAGCCAGAUGCACCUAGCUGCUUGUAUAUUGGCCUUCACAACAUUCUUAUCUAUCAUCUCUUUUACUUUACUCUCUGGCUUAGAAUUCCUUUUUUUUUUUUUUUCUGUACUAUCCAGAUAGACUGGGCAUGCUCUAGCCUGAUGUUGAUACUCCAUACAAGUUAGAAGACAAAAAACAUAUCAGUGGUGAGAUUGUGCCAUCCGAUGGUGGUGAAGUGCCACAGAAGAACAGUAGUAAUUGGAUGAGAAUGUUAACGGAGUUGUUGCACUAACCAUGAUAUUAAACAAUGUAGCAGUAUUCCUUCCCUCAUUGGAUGCAUUGGUUUUUACUACUUUGUAGGCGAUUAGAAUGGCCAGAUCAAAUUGGGAGUAUGGCGUUGGUUCAAAAAGGGGAUAAAGAUGAGGUCGUUGUGAAGACCAAAUCCGCAGGGCGAGAAUUUAGCUUGCAAACAAGAAGCAAUAGAGGCUGAGCUUAUCCUUUGUUUACCUUCGAUGCUUAAGUUAGUAAGAUAGUCAAGGAAUAAAAGUAGUAGAGAGAGUGUUUGUGUGGGGGUAUGGCUGUUACCUCAAACAAAAGGGAAUUGUAGUUAUAUUUUUAGUUUGGAGAAUCCAUUUUAAUUGUAUCUGAAAAAGUGGAUUUGACAUGAUUACCUUGCAGCUAUCUACAAGUCUAUGUCACCUUUCCAACUUAUUAAGUCAGGAUGCUAAUAUGCAGGUAAAAUUAGUCAUACUACGAGAAUUGAUCUGAUUUUUGAACUCCUUGGAAUCCGAGAGAGUGUAUGUGUGGGG
This 1547-nucleotide long non-coding RNA is filed under the name Coffea arabica (coffee). RNAcentral's name for it is "long non-coding RNA (CARA_LNC007296)". Lineage: Eukaryota; Viridiplantae; Streptophyta; Magnoliopsida; Gentianales; Rubiaceae. The record is from RNAcentral.